This 253-nucleotide unclassified non-coding RNA is filed under the name uncultured Micrococcales bacterium. RNAcentral describes it as "contains 16S-23S intergenic spacer region". It matches the Rfam family "Bacterial small subunit ribosomal RNA", at positions 524 to 776 of the family's 1533-position model. Lineage: Bacteria; Bacillati; Actinomycetota; Actinomycetes; Micrococcales. The record is from RNAcentral.
UACGGAGGGUGCAAGCGUUGUCCGGAAUUAUCGGGCGUAAAGAGCUCGUAGGCGGUUUGUCGCGUCUGCUGUGAAAACGCGAGGCUUAACCUCGCGCCUGCAGUGGGUACGGGCAGACUAGAGUGCGGUAGGGGAGACUGGAAUUCCUGGUGUAGCGGUGAAAUGCGCAGAUAUCAGGAGGAACACCGAUGGCGAAGGCAGGUCUCUGGGCUGUUACUGACACUGAGGUGCGAAAGCGUGGGUAGCAAACAGG